GUAUCGGCUAACUCCGUGCCAGCAGCCGCGGUAAUACGGAGGAUACGAGCGUUAUCCGGAUUUAUUGGGUUUAAAGGGUGCGCAGGCGGUCUGUCAAGUCAGGGGUGAAAAGCCGAGGCUCAACCUUGGUCUUGCCCUUGAAACUGGUGGACUGGAGAGUACAUGAUGUGGGCGGAAUGCGUAGUGUAGCGGUGAAAUGCAUAGAUAUUACGCAGAACUCCGAUUGCGAAGGCAGCUCACAAAAGUAUAUCUGACGCUGAGGCACGAAAGCGUGGGUAUCGAACAGGAUUAGAUACCCUGGUAGUCCACGCAGUAAACGAUGAAUACUUGAUGUAGGAGGUAUCGACCCCUUCUGUGUCGAAGUUAACGUAUUAAGUAUUCCACCUGGGGAGUACGACCGCA
RNAcentral lists this ribosomal RNA (402 nucleotides) under uncultured bacterium. RNAcentral's name for it is "bacterial SSU rRNA". It matches the Rfam family "Bacterial small subunit ribosomal RNA", at positions 490 to 890 of the family's 1533-position model. The record is from RNAcentral.